GAUGAAGAACGCAGCGAAAUGCGAUACGUAAUGUGAAUUGCAGAAUUCAGUGAAUCAUCGAAUCUUUGAACGCACAUUGCGCCUGCCAGCACUCUGGCAGGCAUGCCUGUUCGAGCGUCAUUUCAACCAUCAAGCCCUAGGCUUGCGUUGGAGCCCUGCGGCUGCCGCAGGCCCCUAAAAGCAGUGGCGGGCUCGCUAUCACACCGAGUGCAGUAGAUUACUCUUCGCUCAGGGCGUGUGGCGGGUUCCAGCCGUGAAACCCCCUACUUCACAAGGUUGACAUCGGAUCAGGUAGGAAUACCCGCUGAAAUUAAGCAUAUCAAUAAGCGGAGGA
Molecule: unclassified non-coding RNA, 334 nt
Filed under: soil metagenome
Description: partial contains 5.8S ribosomal RNA, internal transcribed spacer 2, and large subunit ribosomal RNA
Rfam family: 5.8S ribosomal RNA (bases 1-120)
Source: RNAcentral